Molecule: small nuclear RNA, 108 nt
Organism: Oryctolagus cuniculus (rabbit)
Lineage: Eukaryota; Metazoa; Chordata; Mammalia; Lagomorpha; Leporidae
Source: Ensembl
GUGCUUGCUUUGACAGCACAUAUACUAAAACUGGAAUAAUACAGACAAGAUUGGCAAGACUCCUACAAGAUAGAUGACACACAGAUCUCUAAAGCAUUCCAUAUUAUU